This 335-nucleotide long non-coding RNA is filed under the name Chlamydomonas reinhardtii. Its description in RNAcentral is "long non-coding RNA (CREI_LNC000871)". Lineage: Eukaryota; Viridiplantae; Chlorophyta; Chlorophyceae; Chlamydomonadales; Chlamydomonadaceae. The record is from RNAcentral.
UGUAUGUCUCCUCGCAAAAACUUUAAGUGGCAUACCUUCCUCAGCGUACUGAGGCAGGCAGAGACAGCCUUACCGUUGAUGCGAACGAACUGAAGGUAUGGGCCAGGGGUACUCUAGGCCAUGUUGCUGCUGCAAUUGGACGCGUACAUACGUAUACCCCGUCAUGCAUAGGUCGAUUUGGCUGUGGCCGGCUGGCUGUGGUGCUAGUACUGAGGUAGGAUGUGCAGGGAUGUUGGACAUCCUGCUGCCUGUUCCGUAACACACCAUUCACACGGAUGUACACCUUAAUCUGGAACUGCAGCCACAUAGCUCCUGGCAAAGAUUGUCAGUUUCUG